Molecule: non-coding RNA, 18 nt
Filed under: Arabidopsis thaliana (thale cress)
Lineage: Eukaryota; Viridiplantae; Streptophyta; Magnoliopsida; Brassicales; Brassicaceae
Source: RNAcentral
UUGGGUUUAGUGCUAAAA